This 449-nucleotide ribosomal RNA is filed under the name uncultured bacterium. Its description in RNAcentral is "bacterial SSU rRNA". It matches the Rfam family "Bacterial small subunit ribosomal RNA", at positions 329 to 797 of the family's 1533-position model. The record is from RNAcentral.
UUCCAGACUCCUACGGGAGGCAGCAGUGGGGAAUAUUGCACAAUGGGGGAAACCCUGAUGCAGCGACGCCGCGUGAGCGAUGAAGUAUUUCGGUAUGUAAAGCUCUAUCAGCAGGGAAGAAGAUGACGGUACCUGACUAAGAAGCCCCGGCUAACUACGUGCCAGCAGCCGCGGUAAUACGUAGGGGGCAAGCGUUAUCCGGAUUUACUGGGUGUAAAGGGAGCGUAGACGGCGAUGCAAGCCAGAUGUGAAAGCCCGGGGCUCAACCCCGGGACUGCAUUUGGAACUGUGUGGCUGGAGUGUCGGAGAGGCAGGCAGAAUUCCUAGUGUAGCGGUGAAAUGCGUAGAUAUUAGGAGGAACACCAGUGGCGAAGGCGGCCUGCUGGACGAUGACUGACGUUGAGGCUCGAAAGCGUGGGGAGCAAACAGGAUUAGAUACCCCAGUACUA